This 75-nucleotide antisense RNA is filed under the name Mycobacterium heidelbergense. RNAcentral's name for it is "ASpks TB sRNA". It matches the Rfam family "ASpks TB sRNA". Lineage: Bacteria; Bacillati; Actinomycetota; Actinomycetes; Mycobacteriales; Mycobacteriaceae. The record is from Rfam by way of RNAcentral.
UUUGAUCGACCCCAACCAUAACGGCCGAUCCAUUGGCCGGUCCUGCCCAUACGUCGCCAACAACGCCUGGGCCUC